AGGAACCGGAUGCGGGAAAUCUGCACGUCCGGAUCUGUGAGGGGCGGGGCUCGGUAACGACCCCGCCUACUCGGC
This is a non-coding RNA of Shinella sp. DD12, 75 nucleotides long. Lineage: Bacteria; Pseudomonadati; Pseudomonadota; Alphaproteobacteria; Hyphomicrobiales; Rhizobiaceae. The record is from Rfam.